RNAcentral lists this ribosomal RNA (333 nucleotides) under Triticum aestivum (bread wheat). RNAcentral's name for it is "partial small subunit ribosomal RNA". Lineage: Eukaryota; Viridiplantae; Streptophyta; Magnoliopsida; Poales; Poaceae. The record is from RNAcentral.
AUGAAGGACGCCCGUACACAGAUGAUUCUUCAUCGGUGUGACAGCCCCGACGAGCUCUACCCGGUUCACCCAUCCUCCUCCAGCGCCAUCGCUCCCGUCGCCCUCUCCGCCGGUGUGGACCUUUGGCAUGCUCGUUUGGGUCACCCAACCCCACCACCCUUCAUCAUAUUCUUCGGAGUUUUACCUUCACGUGUAAUAAGGUUGAGGAUCACACUUGUCAUGCUUGUCGUCUCGGCAAACAUGUUCGUCUUCCCUUUCGUAAAUCUCCCACUAUUGCUUCGUACCCGUUCAGUUAAUUCACAUCAACGUAUGGACUUCUCCUAUUGCAAGUAG